UAAAGGCCGCAGAAUAUUAACUGUGCUAAGGUAGCAUAAUCAUUUGUCUCCUAAUUAGAGACUAGUAUGAACGGCUAAACGAAAUUUAACUGUCUUCUUUUAUACUAAAUAAAAUUUAAUCUUAAAGUUAAAAAGCUUUAAUGUAAUAAAAAGACAAAAAGACCCCAUAGAGUUUAAUUUUAAUUGAUUUUAAAAAUAAAAUUAUAAAAUUUAGUUGGGGCAACUAAGAAAAAAUAAAUUUUUCUACUAAAAAAUAAUAUAAUCUAUCAUUAAAUUAAUAACACAAAACAAAUUACCUUGGGGAUAACAGCAUAAAUUUCUUUGAGAGCCCAAAUCGAAA
Molecule: ribosomal RNA, 340 nt
Filed under: Dorymenia sp. ALMNH Inv 24164
Lineage: Eukaryota; Metazoa; Mollusca; Solenogastres; Cavibelonia; Proneomeniidae
Description: partial large subunit ribosomal RNA
Source: RNAcentral